CCUACGGGAGGCAGCAGUGAGGAAUAUUGGUCAAUGGGCGAGAGCCUGAACCAGCCAAGUCGCGUGAGGGAGUACUGCCCUAUGGGUUGUAAACCUCUUUUGUCGGGGAGCAAAAGCCGGACGUGUCCGGCUGUGAGAGUACCCGAAGAAAAAGCAUCGGCUAACUCCGUGCCAGCAGCCGCGGUAAUACGGAGGAUGCGAGCGUUAUCCGGAUUUAUUGGGUUUAAAGGGGGCGCAGGCGGAUUUUUAAGUCAGCGGUAAAAUCGUGGGGUUCAACCCCAUCCAGCCGUUGAAACUGGGGAUCUAGAGUGUGCGAGAGGUAUGCGGAAUGCGUGGUGUAGCGGUGAAAUGCAUAGAUAUCACGCAGAACCCCGAUUGCGAAGGCAGCAUACCGGUGCACAACUGACGCUCAGGCACGAAAGCGUGGGUAUCGAACAGGAUUAGAUACCCGUGUAGUC
Molecule: ribosomal RNA, 458 nt
Filed under: uncultured bacterium
Lineage: Bacteria
Description: partial 16S ribosomal RNA
Rfam family: Bacterial small subunit ribosomal RNA
Source: RNAcentral